CCCCCCUCAAGAUGAGAUUUCCCUGGCUUUAUAGCCUAAGACCCCUGAAAGAUGAUCAGGUUGAUAGGUCCGAGGUAGAAGUGUGGUGACACAUGUAGCUGACGGAUACUAAUCGGUCAAGGACUUAAUCAA
This 132-nucleotide ribosomal RNA is filed under the name Lederbergia galactosidilytica. RNAcentral describes it as "partial 23S ribosomal RNA". It matches the Rfam family "Bacterial large subunit ribosomal RNA", at positions 2793 to 2925 of the family's 2925-position model. Lineage: Bacteria; Bacillati; Bacillota; Bacilli; Caryophanales; Bacillaceae. The record is from RNAcentral.